AUGGAAGAGGAUUGUUCCAGUCACAUGGAUCAGUGGUACAGGGUCAGGUCAAGGGUCUGUCCCUGUCUACGUUUUUGUCAAGUUGUCAGCUGGGAAAGCUUUCACCACCACUUCAGCAUCUCUCAAGCACACACCAAAUGUGAGUUAUACAGCAACACUGUGAGAAACACCGCCAUGAUGCACAGGCUGCAGGUAUUCAGACAUACUGUCAUGGUCGUGACCCACUGUUUAUGUUUUCAUAUCUUUUGUAUUUUCUGGCUCUCUAAUUGACAUUAGGCAUCUUUGGGUUCCAGAUCCUGAAAAGUUGGGAUAAAACCUGCAGUAGCAGUGGGCUACCGGUGCACAAAGGUGUUACUUGAUGAGAACUGUGUGUACCAAUUUUAUUUACUUAUUUUGUAUUCUGUUUCCCUUCCUCCCCGUCUCGUUAUGUCAGAUUAGUCCCAGCUGUGUUUCCCUCCUGUUUCCCAUUCCCUCAUUACCCCCUUGUGUAUUUAAGCCUUGUUUUCCUCUGUCCCUUGUCGCAUUGUACAUUCUCUGUGCUGUGUGUCCUUUGUGCUCCUGAUAAUGUCAGAGUUCUCCGUGUCCCAUUUUACUUUUUUCUACUUUCCUAAGUUUCCUAUUUAGAGGUUCCUAGUUUCUAGGUUAUGAGGUUUUUGUGUGGAUACAUUGAUACAGCAAUUAAGCUGCGUCCCUUGGCUCAUUCCUUUGUUUUUGAGUCCUGCAUUUGGGUCCUACUUCCUGCCUACCACACAGCACCAAACCAUGACACAUACACAAGGCAGUAGCAAAAGUCUUCUGCUUGAUAUUCAUAUCAGGCUGGAAAAGUUACAGCCCAAAAUAUCCAAUUGUCACCAGUUUGAGAUGGAAGCUUGAAAAGCCACCCUUUGUAGCACAGCCCGCAUCACAGAAAUCUUAAGGUUGAACAGUGUGGACUACCAUCAGCUCAGCUGAGCCUCUCCUAAUAAAGUAAGAUGUGAUUUCUUUCCUUUUAAAUACAGAACAUGCGGCUUCCAGAUGUCUGUGGAAACAAAGAAGUGCUUCUGCUUUCAGUUCUGCAAUGAUGCUCUUGAAGUUAAGAAAAUGCAUUGAAGACAAAUUAUAUAUAACCUGCUAUGCAGAGAUGUGGAAAAAAACCAAAAAGUACACUCAUGCAGGCAACUCCCAGAGAUCUGCAUCAUCAUGAUUUUGAUUUGAUUCAAGUGGAACAACAUGACAAUAUGACCAAAUUAUUCAGCUAAGUUAAUCACCCUUGUUUUAGUGAAGUGUUUCCUAAAUGGGUUAAUGGCCAUUAAAGAGCAAACCAAGGCUAAAACUUCAUGCCAUGUCCCAACAACAACACUUAUUCUCUGUGAGAGGUUUCAUGUAACACUGCUGAUGAAAUGUUGUACCAACAUGCCUCUGUUAACCUAAUUGUGGUUUGAUCGAACUCUUUCGACAUAUUUUUCAUUUCCUGGUGUUCAGUGCAGAAAAGCUCACAUGCACACAGAAUGAGAGUCAUUUCAAACUGCUGACACAAGCGCCUCAGCAGCGAGGCAGUCAUUAUGGACCCGGCAAGUCUGAGCAACAGAGCAGUGAAAGAGCAGGUAGAUAAUACUCAGUCUUGCAACCAUACUGGGCAGCACUGCUCCCUGUCUCCUUCCAUUUAAGCACCUUCCAUCUUUGUCACAGCUGGAAUGGGAAUUCCAUCUCUCCUCCAACAUAAGGCCUUUUCUACAGAGACUGCAUUAUGCUGCAGACUUCUCUGCACUUAAGGCAUCUGUUUGGACAACGCCUGCAUUUGGAGUGAGACAGGGUGAUUUGUUAGAUGAGAUGUUACGCUUUAGAAUUGAGACAGAUCCAGCUAAUGAGAUUAUUCUCAUGAAAGGAGCUUUGGGAAUAGAAAGGAAAACUAAGAGGGACAGUGAAGGUGAAAGAGUAGGGGUCCAGAUGAAUAAACAAAACCAAGCAGAAUACAAUAAAAGGAAAAGGUUGGGAUUGUCUGAAGAAGGAGUGCAAACACAUCUGAGAUGAAUAUUUUACAUACCCCUGAACAGGUCAGCUGUCCUGAACUUGCUGUCGCUCGGUGAAACUGACUGCAAAGAGUGUGCUGCACCAUAAACCUACUCCUGAUUGCUUUGAACGCCUGCAGAUUGAAACGGUCGUAAGACGCCGACUUGUCUGCAAACACUUGGCAUUCACUCUCUGAGAUGUAGUAAACCUUGAAAGAAUGUGACACAAAGCAGAAAUGGUUUGAAAUGGAUAACACAGGCUUAAAAAGCCUUCCCCAAGCCCUGACCUUAACUCUAACAUCAAGCUCCAUUCCAGGAAACCAACCUAGAGUUAUGCCAGAAGCUUGUUAAUGGUUACAACAAACACGUGGUCGUUCAACAUGCUAAUGGACCAAACCAAAUAUUACUGGAAAGAACCACUUUGACAGAUAUGUGAUAAUCUCUUGCACACUUUUAUGAUACUAUGCUCACACUAAUGUGCAUGCUCACAUUUUCUAUCUGCACUUCUAUGUGAGACGUUCGGAUUUCAUUUACUCCACUGUGAUGCGUUUUUUAUAAAGAUAACAAAACAGAGCAGAGGGUUAACACUGAGACAGUCGCCUUUCUCGUGAGGAUUCACUUUACUUUGAAAGUGAAUGAGUUAUUUUGGGACAGGUAACACUGGAGAUCAUAAAUGUAUUAUGUGAAUGCAAAGAUGGUAAAUGUUUAUGAGGUGCCGUAAGGGACAUUAUUACUGAAACGCUCUCACGCACUCCACUGAAAAACCAAGGCAUUUCAGUUGAACAGGAAGUCCUGACAAGGAAACUGAAGGAAAAAGUGGUAGAUUUCAAACAAGCCACUACACAGAUGUCUACUCAGCAACCUGCUAGUAGCCUAAGUGAAGCAGCUGCAUUACUUAACAAUAUAUUAGCCUCAGCAUAAGUCAAAAUUUAGAAUAGCAGGAGACGGGCAUUAUCCUGGUUAAUUUUUUUGGCAUAUUUGCUUUUUGUCUUUUUUAGCAAAGAAAACAAUAUCUUAAAAUCAUUAAUAAAACCAGGGAGAGAAGGCUUAGCGUUCCUCCAUUUAGUAAAAGUAAGUAAGUAAAAUUUAUUUAUAUAGCACAUUUCACAGAUAAAAAUCACAAAGUGCUUCACAAUAAG
Oreochromis niloticus (Nile tilapia) is the source of this 3127-nucleotide long non-coding RNA. Lineage: Eukaryota; Metazoa; Chordata; Actinopteri; Cichliformes; Cichlidae. The record is from Ensembl.